CAUACACACAUACACACACAAAGAUCCCCCGUAUAGCCUUAACAGACUGUAGGGGCAAGUGCUGUUAGCGAGCACCUAUGAAGGCCAGAACGGUACACGAGGGGGUUGGGUGGCCAGCACCACGCCCGACCGCCUUUGUCUCCCCAGUGGCGAUGUUUACACACCGCACCAGGUACUCAUUUAAGGCUGAGUCGACCUAGGGGAGGCCCAAGACCGGUUCAGAUAAUCGUUACUGGUGUUAGCCGUGAGCGGGAAUCGAACUCGGGUCGCCAGGUUCAUAGCGCAGCGCGCUAACCACUACACCACCGCUCCCCACAACACACACACUCACUUACACACAUACACACACUCUCACUUACACACAUACACACACUCUCACUUACACACAUACACACACACUCUCACUUACACACACUCUCACUCACACACACAUACACACACUCUCACUUACACACACUCUCACACACACAUACACACACUCUCACACAUACACACACACUCACUUACACACUCUCACUGAAACAUACAAAGAUCCCCCGUAUAGCCUGAACAGACUGUAGGGGCAAGUGCUGUUAGCGAGCACCUAUGAAGGCCGGAACGGUACACGAGGGGGUGGGUGGCCAGCACCACGCCCGACCGCCUUUGUCUCCCUAGUGGCGAUGUUUACACACCGCACCAGGUACUCAUUUAAGGCUGAGUCGACCUAGGGGAGGCCCAGGACCGGUUCAGAUAAUCGUCACUGGUGUUAGCCGUGAGCGGGAAUCGAACCCGGGUCGCCAGGUUCAUAGCGCAGCGCGCUAACCGCUACACUACCGCUCCCCACCACUGAAACAUACACAACAACAACAACCGCCAUUCGCCACUAAGUGGCGGUGACGUCACCACGACGCUUGUGCCAGGCCAAGUGCACCUUGAGGCCACGUGAAGUGUCGAACGCCCGCUGACAGGAGGUCACGGGGCAGACCCAGGUGCCACGGGUCGACUGACUGAGAUGUCCGAGAUGACUGGCUGAUGCACCACCUGUGCCCUCUACUGUACCAACUCGCUGUGCUUUAGCCACCCGGCGCUCCGCUCGUUGUUGUGAGCGUCGCUCCUCCGCCCUCCGUUGUUGUUGGAGGGCAACUGCCUCCAACUGCCCAGUAGCGUCCUUCACGAGCCUCCUCCACAGAGGCCGAUCUUGACACCGCUGGUACCAGUCAUCGGCAAGUCCACUCAGCUCCACGUCCUCCUGUACCACAUCACUCCAUCUCUUCUCCAGCCCGUGCCGCGCCCGUUUAGCCCCCUCGAUCCGGCCGAACAAAAGCUGUUUAGGCAUGCGGUGGCUGGGCAUGCGGGCUACAUGACCCAGCCAACGCAACCUUGCCUGCCGGAGAAGCUCACCGAUUGGACUGUGACCAGAUCUUUCGGAAUCUGAGCUUCUCACACAAUCCAGCCAGAUUAACCCCGGGAUGUAACGUAGGUAGGCCCUCCUGAAUGUCUGUAACCGGCGCUGAUGUUCCAUUAGAGGGGUCCACGUUUCGCAAGCAUAGAUAAGUGAAGGGCAUAUAUGACUGUGGCCGAGAAGACCCGGAGCUUUGUUUGGAGCGACAGGCCAGCUAGCUUCAACAUAGCAGCGUUUCGUAGCCGGUAAAACAAAAAUGCCGCUCGACUGAUUCGGAGCGAGACAUCCGCUGCCAAACCGGAGAUGAUGUCAGGGGAACUCCUUUCACUCCACAACUGCCCCAUCACUCCUCGAAAGUUGAGCGAGUGUGGAAUGUUUUGAUGACACAAAGUACCCAGGGUCACACUGGUUCCGGACAGAGUUGGGACUGGACGGGCGCGGAGAAGUAUGGCUCAAACGAACACCACGACGACAUGGCAGGGGGGCCUUCAUCCAGCAGUGGAUUGGCAAAGAGUGGCCGUACUGAGACAUCACCGCACCACGGCAGGAGACAUCACCGCACCACGGCAGGAGACAUCACCGCACCACGGCAGGAGACAUCACCGCACCACGGCAGGAGACAUCACCGCACCACGGCAGGAGACAUCACCGCACCACGGCAGG
Lethenteron reissneri (Far Eastern brook lamprey) is the source of this 2044-nucleotide long non-coding RNA. RefSeq lists it as uncharacterized. NCBI's taxonomy places the organism in Eukaryota, Metazoa, Chordata, Hyperoartia, Petromyzontiformes, Petromyzontidae. The record is from RefSeq and is a predicted model, not a curated record.